Molecule: long non-coding RNA, 1089 nt
Organism: Myotis lucifugus (little brown bat)
Lineage: Eukaryota; Metazoa; Chordata; Mammalia; Chiroptera; Vespertilionidae
Exons: 2
Source: RefSeq, a predicted model, not a curated record
GUCUCCUCCUCCAUCACCUCUCCCCAUGCCCCACCCUGUGUGUUUCCUGCCUCGGACUCCUGGAACAUUUUGUCUCCCAGUAAUUAACCGUUUUCUCCCCUAAAGUAGAAAUAGUUCUGCGUACCCCGCUUUCCCCUAGUUAGGCCAUAAGCUUGCAAGGUCGGGAAGCUAUCUUCCCGUGUGUAUAGCCCUAGAAGUUUCUAGCAGAGCAACAGGCUAGUACAAGUGAAAACCACACGCAUCCCACAACAGCGCCUUCUCUCAUGUGGGUGCUGAAGUUGAGGCUUUGAGGAAAAUGAAGAGAAGACAGGCCACUCAAAGGAGACGGAUACGUGCCCAGGCCCCUCCACACGCCCACUGGCCCAGCUUUGCUUCAGAAAAAAAUUUCUGAUAAAAGGAAUCAUAACCUGAGAAACCUGGAGAACAAACAUUUAGAUCCAACAGAGUUGACCUGUGAGUAAAGGGAAAGCUGAGAAUUUUCUACCUCUUCCUCCCUUUGUGAUUCCUUCACAGAGGUCAGCACUGUCUUUGUCCCUUUGUGAUUCAUUCACAGAGGUCAGCACUGUCUUUGCUCCUGGGGACGGUGAGGUCCCAGCACAGCUGCCACCCUUGUCUAACAAUCGCAGAUCUUUAGCUCCUAAGCCAUCGGUCAGUCCUCCGCACUAAUGAUGAAUCAGGCAUUGGGGCUCCAUGCUGGGCCCCACCAGGGCUCUUCUGUCCUUGCAGCCCACUCUCCUCCCCCCUCCCCCUCUCUCCCCAGAACUCACCGAGGGGUCCGGGUGCUCACGGCUGGUGAUGGCAGGGUUCAUGGCAACUCGAGGUCUUCUCCUGUGGGUGUCCUCUCAGGAUAGAGAAGAACUGAAGCCUCUCUAGUAGAGAAAGAUGAACUUCUCAAAGCCUGCUGAAAUAACAAGGAGAAAGGAAGGCUCUGGGGAGGGUGGGGCCUCCAAGCCCCGCCCGCUAAUGGACAACAGACUCCCCCACCGCACCUCAUCCCGCCCCAGUCCUCUCCCUCUCUGGUCACUGCAGGGGACCAAGGUGCGUUCUGCUGUAGCCAGUGUUUCACACUUUGACAGGUUAGGGCAAUUA